RNAcentral lists this ribosomal RNA (333 nucleotides) under uncultured Bacillota bacterium. Its description in RNAcentral is "bacterial SSU rRNA". It matches the Rfam family "Bacterial small subunit ribosomal RNA", at positions 28 to 351 of the family's 1533-position model. The record is from RNAcentral. Lineage: Bacteria; Bacillati; Bacillota.
GACGAACGCUGGCGGCAUGCCUAAUACAUGCAAGUCGAGCGGGAUGAUGAGAGCUUGCUCUCUGAUUUUAGCGGCGGACGGGUGAGUAACACGUGGGCAACCUGCCCUACAGAUGGGGAUAACUCCGGGAAACCGGGGCUAAUACCGGAUAAUAUUUUGAACUGCAUAGUUCGAAAUUGAAAGGCGGCUUCGGCUGUCACUUAUGGAUGGACCCGCGUCGCAUUAGCUAGUUGGUGAGGUAACGGCUCACCAAGGCAACGAUGCGUAGCCGACCUGAGAGGGUGAUCGGCCACACUGGGACUGAGACACGGCCCAGACUCCUACGGGAGGCAG